Molecule: non-coding RNA, 74 nt
Organism: Podarcis lilfordi (Lilford's wall lizard)
Lineage: Eukaryota; Metazoa; Chordata; Lepidosauria; Squamata; Lacertidae
Source: the annotation of a GenBank genome assembly
UCCUGAAUAGCUCGGUCGGUUAGAGCGCUGUGCUGAUAACGGCAAGGUUGCAGGUUUGAUCCCUGUAUGGGGCA